GUUGUUUACCAGCUGCUCCUGCUAUGAGCGUCACGGUCCGGGCUGCCUACCUGAAUUCCGGAACCAGGUUGGGCUUCAGGCCGUAGAAGGCAGCCGAUAAGGAAGGCACCGAGUCAGCGAGCUUCUCGCUUUGGAUGACGGAGACGCGCUCCGCCCUCUUCCGUUGAGUGAGAGCCACGCCCCCCAGAAGCCGCGCGGCGAGGGAGCUGUCCAGGUGCUGAAAACAUGAUCCUUCAGUAGGCAGAGAUUUGUUCUCACGUUGGCGUUCCAGAGUCGUUUGUUUACUCUUGAUCAGUGAGGAGAGAAAAAAAACAAGAUUAAUUACAUCCACUUUAAUUGUAAAAUGUGUGAAAUAUAUUUUGAAAACAAAAUUCACUGAGAAUAAUGUGGGGAUGUUGCCACCUAUUUGUGCAUGAAGACAAACACCUGAUGUAAUCCAUCAUUUAUUUAUGUUUACUCGACAUAUUUAUUCAUUACUUAGAGCCUACGGGAGCCAUUAUUAUUAUCGGGGGCCAAUAUUACUAAUAUCAUUCAGCUAUACUCAAUCCCCCACCAAAUUACCUCUGUUAAAUACGGCUCUACGCAACACUGCUCUGCCAAAAAGUACAAGAAAGUUGUGGCCACAGUUUAUUGCUUGUCAGAUGAAAUGUGGCAAUGGCUCAACAUCUGAGAAAACCCCACAGCCAAUAUACUUGUUAUGGAAACAUCUGUAUUUAUCUACAAUAUUAUGUUUUCAUGGUCGUGGGCAGAACAGCAAGUGGAAUUUAAGAAUGAAAGACAAUGUGCUUUAUUAGACUGUUUGAGUGUAAUUAGAUGGGCAGUGAACAAAAAAAAGAACAUCAAAUCAGUUAACAUCAUUCAAAUCAUAGAAGUAAAGGGGACAUCACCUAUUUUUCCCUUUUGAUCAUUGAGCCAGAGCCCAAAAUGAUUAGUGUGAGUUAAAACUCACAAUAUCAACACAAUAUAGAAGAUUACAGGUCAAACGUUUCAUUCAAUUACUCAGUAUUCAGUUUUGACUCAAAUAUUCUGCAUAAACCUGCACUCCUCUCUCUCUCUCUCUCUCUCUCUCUCUCUCUCCCUCCUGGGUUUAAGGGCAUGUCACGUUACGCCGCGUGGGCGAGAGGCAUCUCGUCCUGGGUGGAGGGCGAGGACGACAGGCAUGACGGAGGGCGACGGAGCCCAGAGUCGACCUCCGAGACGUCCUGGACGUCACGACCGGCGAGAAGAAGAAGGAGUCUUUGUGGUUUUAAACACAUCAGCUUUACUGACUGUCUUUGAGCCUCUGGGUUCAUUAGUUAGAUGCAGCAUGGAUAAAAUACUCCAUCUUUCCUGUUGAAGAGCCAACGGAAGGGAUUUCUCUGCAAAAAAUAUUUAUUUUAACCAUUAAAUUGAGCGAAAACCGAAGCAUUAAUCUGUCCAAAAUGAGAUUAACGUCCCAAUUACAUUCCAAUCAUUGUCCUUCCCUUAACCGAACUGGAUUCCCUCUGGUCUCUCUGUCCAUGUUGUUGCUAUGCGAAUGCUGCACAGAUGGAAAUGAAAGAAAUACAGAACAUCAGUCGCGGGGAUGGUGACAGUGACGAAGGUGGACAUGGCACCUCCUUUUUCAGGUUUGUUAUUGUGGAGGGUCUGAUGUCUGCAGCCAUCGCACGCUGUCGAGGUACCUGACGGAGGCCGCGUGGAUUCCUCCGGGCCCGUCGUCUCAAGACACAAACGACGUGAAAUACCUCAGUAGAUACCCGGAUUGUGAAGUUAGAGUGUCUUUAAGAAGGCAGAGCGUCUCCUUGCUGUGGUGUAGUUGCGUUUUCCCUCUGCUGAUGGUAUUGGACUUUCAGCUUUGUGGACGUUGUCAACGUACUCCACCAAAGACACGUUUGGAUGUAUCUUGUCUACGAAGAAGCAGUGAAUUUUAAUAAACCAGAUUUAUUUAUAACUAAUUGUAU
Long non-coding RNA from Pungitius pungitius (ninespine stickleback), 1940 nucleotides. RefSeq lists it as uncharacterized. The transcript has 3 exons. The record is from RefSeq and is a predicted model, not a curated record. NCBI's taxonomy places the organism in Eukaryota, Metazoa, Chordata, Actinopteri, Perciformes, Gasterosteidae.